Small nuclear RNA from Phyllostomus discolor (pale spear-nosed bat), 182 nucleotides. RefSeq annotates it as U2 spliceosomal RNA. The record is from RefSeq and is a predicted model, not a curated record. NCBI's taxonomy places the organism in Eukaryota, Metazoa, Chordata, Mammalia, Chiroptera, Phyllostomidae. The transcript has a single exon.
ACUGCUUCUCGGCCUUUUGGCUAAGAUCUAGUGUAGUAUCUGUCCUCAUCACUUUAAUAUCUGGUGUGUCCUCUAUCCAAGGACUUUAUAUUAAAUGGAGUUUUGGAGCUGGGAGAUGGAAUAGGAGCUUGCUCCUCGCAUCAGCCCGGUGUUGCAGUACUUCUAGGAACAGUGUACCAAAA